This 433-nucleotide ribosomal RNA is filed under the name uncultured bacterium. RNAcentral describes it as "partial 16S ribosomal RNA". It matches the Rfam family "Bacterial small subunit ribosomal RNA", at positions 29 to 507 of the family's 1533-position model. The record is from RNAcentral.
AGCGAACGCUGGCGGCAGGCUUAACACAAGCAAGUCGAGCGGACCUUUCGGGGUCAGCGGCGGACGGGUGAGUAACGCGUGGGAACGUGCCUUCCGGUUCGGAAUAACCCUGGGAAACUAGGGCUAAUACCGGAUACGCCCUUAUGGGGAAAGGUUUACUGCCGGAAGAUCGGCCCGCGUCUGAUUAGCUAGUUGGUGGGGUAACGGCCUACCAAGGCGACGAUCAGUAGCUGGUCUGAGAGGAUGAUCAGCCACACUGGGACUGAGACACGGCCCAGACUCCUACGGGAGGCAGCAGUGGGGAAUAUUGGACAAUGGGCGCAAGCCUGAUCCAGCCAUGCCGCGUGAGUGAUGAAGGCCUUAGGGUUGUAAAGCUCUUUUAUCCGGGACGAUAAUGACGGUACCGGAGGAAUAAGCCCCGGCUAACUUCGUG